AGAGUUUGAUCAUGGCUCAGGAUGAACGCUGGCGGCGUGCUUAACACAUGCAAGUCGAGCGAAGCAUAUCUGCGGAAGUUUUCGGAUGGAAGCGGGUAUGACUGAGCGGCGGACGGGUGAGUAACGCGUGGGGAACCUGCCCCAUACAGGGGGAUAACAGUUAGAAAUGACUGCUAAUACCGCAUAAGCGCACACUGGCGCAUGCCAGAGUGUGAAAGACUCCGGUGGUAUGGGAUGGACCCGCGUCUGAUUAGCUUGUUGGUGGGGUAACGGCCUACCAAGGCGACGAUCAGUAGCCGGCCCGAGAGGGCGACCGGCCACAUUGGGACUGAGACACGGCCCAAACUCCUACGGGAGGCAGCAGUGGGGAAUAUUGCACAAUGGGGGGAACCCUGAUGCAGCAACGCCGCGUGAGUGAAGAAGUAUUUCGGUAUGUAAAGCUCUAUCAGCAGGGAAGAAGAUGACGGUACCUGACUAAGAAGCCCCGGCUAACUACGUGCCAGCAGCCGCGGUAAUACGUAGGGGGCAAGCGUUAUCCGGAUUUACUGGGUGUAAAGGGAGCGCAGACGGCAAUGCAAGUCUGGAGUGAAAACCCGGGGCUCAACCCCGGGAGUGCUUUGGAAACUGCAUAGCUGGAGUACUGGAGAGGUAAGCGGAAUUCCUAGUGUAGCGGUGAAAUGCGUAGAUAUUAGGAGGAACACCAGUGGCGAAAGCGGCUUACUGGACAGAGACUGACGUUGAGGCUCGAAAGCGUGGGGAGCAAACAGGAUUAGAUACCCUGGUAGUCCACGCGGUAAACG
This 800-nucleotide ribosomal RNA is filed under the name uncultured bacterium. RNAcentral's name for it is "bacterial SSU rRNA". It matches the Rfam family "Bacterial small subunit ribosomal RNA", at positions 8 to 808 of the family's 1533-position model. The record is from RNAcentral.